CAGCCUAAGAAUGAAUGUCAUACUUCUGAUAUUGACUUGAUAAAACAUGCAAUAGUAAAGAAAACAACACUGGAAGCCGCUAAGAGUAUAACACAUCACAUAAAACAUUUAGAAUGACCACAAGAGAAGAGAUCAAAGAAGUAGAAGAGAAGCGAAAACAGAGAGGCGAAGAGAUAGAGUGAGUCGAGUUUGUCCGCUAGACCUAGGUGCUUGUGCAUUGGUGAAUGAGGUUCCAGGUGCCGAGGUUGGAGAUUUUGCUGUAACCGGAGGUAGUGGUGGCUCAGUUACAUCAUCAUCUGUGAAAACCGGGUUUGGAGCUUGGGCUGGAGGUAUGGCAUUCACAAGGUUUAAGAAAAGUCCCGGUGGAACAGGGGACAUGUAUUGUGGUGGUAUAGUUUCUUUUGUUCCCAAACAUCGAUUCCCUGCACAAGAGAAAACAAAGUCACGCAUUGUUGUGAGUGGGUUCUGAAAGUUUGGGGGCGGCCACUUACUUUUGUAUCUUGCAGCUGUGAAAGGAAACUCUGUGAUGGUUCCAUCGAUACCAGCUCCGCUGACAUAAGAGUUUAUCUCAACGGUUGGCCUCGCCGUUGUUAAAGCUCAGAUUCCUUUCGGGAGGAAAUCGGUGCUGGAAGGGUUCGGUGGGAUUCUGUUUAGGGCGUGGAGAGAGGUUGAGGAUGAUUUGAGAGGUGAGAUUGAAGAAGGUUUUAUGCAGGGGAUUGUUGAUUGUGCUAUUCACGCCGGUUCGUCCGCCUUUGCUGCUUCUCUAAGGAAGGUUCUCGGAGGGGUUAUUAGCCAGAGGACUACUCAAGGUGUUGAGAAGCUCCUCUUUGGCCUCGCUGAGCCUAUGAUAUUCCGAUCGUUGCAGGUUAGUUUCUCUAACUUAUUGUUAAAGAUGCUUGUACAUACCUAGAACUAGUGUUAUAAAAAUCGGUCUAGGCAGCGACUAGGCACCCGUUUAAACAAUAAUCCUCUAUAAGACGCUUAACCACCACCUAGUGAUUUUUAGAAUAUUGCGUAGAACUUAACUAAACUGCUCUGAUGACCAUUUCAGGUUGCAAAUUCAAAUGUUCGUUUAAACGCGUUACAUUUGCUUCUGGAUCUUUUCCCCAUGGAGGAUCCGGAUGCAACGAAAGAAGAGAAAGAUAAGCUGCUUGACAAACAGUUCUACUUGUUAGAGAAAUUAAUGAGCGAUGAAUGCCCUGAUGUGAGGUCUGUUGCUGUGGAAGGUCUCUGUCGAGUUUUCUAUCUUUUCUGGGAAGUGAUCCCGUCGCCAACGAUUACCAAGAUCAUCACCAAGAUCUUCAACGACAUGUCGCAUGAGUCUUGCAGUGAGGUUAGGCUUUCGACGGUUAAUGGUAUAACUUAUCUCCUCGCGAACCCUCAGUCCCAUGGUAUUCUUAAGGUGCUUCUACCGAGACUGGGGCAUUUGAUGCUGGAUAGUGUUACUUCGAUACGUGUUGCCAUGGUGGAUCUGCUCCUGCUCUUGAGAGAUGUGCGUACUUUCCAGUUUAACACGGUAGUGAGUUUGGAUGUGUUAUUAUCUGUGCUUGCUUCUGACCAAACUCAUGUUGCUAAGGGAAUCGCACGGCUGCUGAUGCCAUCCUAUUUUCCAUCGAGAAAGAGAGCUGAGGAGGCCUGCACACGAUGUAGGACACUCAUAAACAGAAACCCACUUGCUGGUGCAAGGUUCUGCGAGUUUUUAGUAUCUUUAGGAGCAACCCUUCAAUCUGCACGGCAGCUGGUGGGAUUCUUCUUGGAUUCGAUCUUGUCAGAUGAUGAUAAGCUAGAGGAUAACCAGAUUGAAGGCUUGCUUCUUGCUGCGUACCAUCUCUGUAAAGAUCUGGUUGCUGCUGAUUCUGGGUGUAUGGCCUCUCUUAAAGAGUUGUUACCUGGAGAAAAACUGAAAAGCUUGCUAGCUUUUGCACCCACUGCACAGGCUCAGUCAGCUGUCUUUGAUAUUCUUGCUAUGGUCUCCCCUGAAACCGUCUCUGAGGUACUAGAGGAUUGCAUGAGUUUGGUUGUUAAUUGUGGUGGUUCUUGCGCUAUGGUAGGUAUAGAAAGAGAGCUGAGGAGGCCUGCACGCGCUGUAGGACACUCAUCAACAGAAACCCACUGGCUGGUGCAAGAUUUUGCGAGUUUUUAGUAUCUUUAGGAGCUACCGUUCAAUCAGCACGCCAGCUGGUGGGAUUCUUCUUGGAUUCCAUCUUGUCAGGUGAUGAUAAGCUAGAGGAUAACCAGAUUGAAGGCUUGCUUGUUGCUUCGUACUAUCUCUGUAAAGAUCUGGUUGCUGCUGAUUCUGGGUGUAUGGCCUCUCUUAAAGAGUUGUUACCUGGAGAAAAACUGAAAAGCUUGCUAGCUUCUGCACCCACUGCGCAGGCUCAGUCAGCUGUCUUUGAUAUUCUUGCUAUGGUCUCCCCUGAGACCGUCUCUGAGGUACUAGAAGAUUGCAUGAAUUUGGUUGUUACCUGUGGUGGUUUGCCUGGUGAUGAAGGAAGACAGGUCGAGAUUAGGUCUGUACACAAGUUACUCCUGUCUUCUAAUGCCUUUUCUGACCUCAUUGGAACUUUCACCAGUACCCUGCAGAAGACUGCGUACCGCUGCCAGAUCAAUUUCGGCGAUGAAGUAGAGAGAAAUAAUGUCUACUCAGCUACGAGGAAGAAAUCAAAGUCCUCUAAAAAUUCAUCUUCCGCAAAGUGGAAACAUGUUAGCGAGAAAAAUGCAAUCAGCUUCGAGGACGAUUAUUCGGUAGCUGUAGGAAUAUCAUGGCAGAUAAAGGAUUUACUUAUCAUGGAAGAUGCUCGUAAAGCAAUACUCGAGUCUUCUGAUAUUGAGGAGUUGUGCAUUGCCUUAAAAGUAGUCUCCCAGACUAGCAUACUGCAAUCCUCUUGUUGUAGAUACAUGGACGUGUACCCUGUAUUAGCAUAUACUUCUCUUGCUUUACACAUGACUCUUCAGAAUCUUGAUACGGAUGUACAGAUGAAUGAUACAGAGGCAAGAACCUUUUAGCUUUCCCUCUUGAUUCUUUACUCUUUAUUACAAUCAGAUUACUAACUUAUUAGGAUUUUUUUUUUUUGCUUAACAGGAUAUUCUGGACCAAACAAUGAGUCACAUUCUAGGCUGUACAGAACAACUAUUCCAGGAAGGUGACAAUGGAACGUCAGAGACCAUAGCUCUAAAGACGCACCUUAGCAAGAAAUCAAAAAGAAGAAAUUCAAAUGACAGUGAUGAUGGUGAGUGGAGACGUUGAGUUCAUUAUGUAGCUCUUGCUUAUUGUUAGUAAGAGUCAAUGAAGAAUUCUAACAUUGUUAUUAUGCUUCAUGCAGCUUCAGAGGGUCUUAGAUCAAAGGAAGGAGGUGUACUGAACAAGGUGAAGAUGCUAACUGCGAUUCUCAAGUUUAUCGUUGAGUCAACAGAGAUGGGUCUUGCUUCUCAUUUCCAAGCAAGAAUGUUGAAGUUCACAUCUGCAUAUCUCAAGUACGCCAUCUCCAGUUUCGACCACCAUUCAACUGGUAAGUUACAGUUUGAGGAUGCAGAUUUGAAGGACAUAAUUCUGUGUGCCAAAAGCUCGACCAGUUACGCCGGGAAGUUGAUAAACCUGCUGAUGAGAGGACCGUCAUGCCCUUUGUUUGAAGCUUUUGACCUUGCGAACGACCUGCUUGAUCUAUUCACCGCGGUGGAGAUAUCGUUAGGCUCGGCUUAUGCAUUAAAACUCGUGACAGCUUUAAACCCGUGGAUACCAGAUUUGGUUCUUGCAUUAGGACCUUGUUUCAUCAACAACAACAUGGAAGAAGAAGAAGAAGAUUCAUACACCAGCAGAUUCAAUCACAUCAAACUCUGCUUUCCGACAUGGCUUCUUACAUGCGCGAAGCUUGAGCUACAUGAAAUGGAUGACACCUCAGAGUCAUCUCAUCUCCAACUCCCGGCACUCAAAAGACUGAGAGAUACCAUAGUUUCGUUGGUGAAAGGUAGCUCCAAAGUGGUUGAUGGAAUCGGUUACGUUGUUUUGAUGUGUUCAGCCGUGUGUAUAGAGAAGAAAGAUUACAGUACAGUUUUAGGGUUGCUGCACUUUCUAUGUGUGAAGUUGCUUAGUAGGGAAGAAGAAGAAGAAGAAGAUAGAGAGUGGAAAGAGCUUGACACAAUGUUGGUCUCGCUUCCGAGGAUUUACCCAAUGAUAGAGAGAGAGAUUGGUGAAGAAAGAGAUGAAGAGGAAGUGAAGAAGCUCGAGGCCGCAAGAGAAUUGCUUCUACCUGUGUGGACCUACCAUGUCUAUGAAACCGGAAGGUUUCGCAUGAUGGAGGAGGAAGAAGAAUAGAUAAUGUCGGUUUAGAGCUUUGAUGUGUUGUAAUAUACAUUCGUUAGUGUGUUCAUUUGAACUCUGAAUCUCAGUUUGAUCCGAGUCUAUGUGAAUCAAAGUCUAUGUGAAUCAAAGUCUAUGUGAAUCCACACAAAGACAGAGAUUCAACCCUUGUAUUCUAAGAAAGAAUCACACAUAGCUUUUUUUAAAAACAAGAACAAGCCAAAAGGCUUAAAGAAAGAUAAACUCUCUGAUAUCAAAUAAAUUUCUGUCGUUACAUUGAACACAAAGCUGACAAAAUAAACGCAGAAUCUAAUAAAAAAGAGAAAUAUAAUAGCUUUUUUUAAGUUUUUGUACAAAAAUAACUCUAAGAAAAUGACUAAAAUAGCUUUUUUUUUAUUUUGAAAAUUUUAAUAUUUAUUUUUUAAAAUUUGAAACCAUAUCUCCAAAACUUCACCCCUUAAGUCUAAAUCUAAGUCUAAAUUAGUUAGCCCAAAAAUACAUUUUUAUAUUUUAAUAAAACUUAUUAUGGUUUUUUUUUAUUUAGAGUUAUUUUGUAACAAAAACUUAAAAAUUGUGAGUUAUCCUACUAAAUUUCUCAUAUAGAUAUUCAACAAAUCAAUCAAUACGUGAUUGAUUCUUGGAGGCCAAACAAGCGGGCACAAAUAAAAUUAAGCUGGCUUAAGCGGAUAAUCUUGUGUCUAUAUUUCAGCCUAAGAAUGAAUGUCAUACUUCUGAUAUUGACUUGAUAAAACAUGCAAUAGUAAAGAAAACAACACUGGAAGCCGCUAAGAGUAUAACACAUCACAUAAAACAUUUAGAAUGACCACAAGAGAAGAGAUCAAAGAAGUAGAAGAGAAGCGAAAACAGAGAGGCGAAGAGAUAGAGUGAGUCGAGUUUGUCCGCUAGACCUAGGUGCUUGUGCAUUGGUGAAUGAGGUUCCAGGUGCCGAGGUUGGAGAUUUUGCUGUAACCGGAGGUAGUGGUGGCUCAGUUACAUCAUCAUCUGUGAAAACCGGGUUUGGAGCUUGGGCUGGAGGUAUGGCAUUCACAAGGUUUAAGAAAAGUCCCGGUGGAACAGGGGACAUGUAUUGUGGUGGUAUAGUUUCUUUUGUUCCCAAACAUCGAUUCCCUGCACAAGAGAAAACAAAGUCACGCAUUGUUGUGAGUGGGUUCUGAAAGUUUGGGGGCGGC
This 5487-nucleotide long non-coding RNA is filed under the name Brassica napus (rape). RNAcentral describes it as "long non-coding RNA (BNAP_LNC019039)". Lineage: Eukaryota; Viridiplantae; Streptophyta; Magnoliopsida; Brassicales; Brassicaceae. The record is from RNAcentral.